CAACUACCUGGCCAUGAUUAACCAAGUUAGUUGAUAGAUGUUUGAAAUACCAACAAACUGACAAUAAAAGUGAAGGAAGUAAACUGUUUGUCAUCAAAGAUGGCUGUCAUUGUGGAACAAAAUAAAGGAAUACCAUUAGUUAAGUUUUAAAGAAAACAAGCUGGUUUUCAAUCCUAAAUGUCAUGUAUGGGGCAUUCUUAUUAUAGUAAUUUGCAAGUUAUUGCCCUUAUUCAUUUUCAAAUUAGGUCAAGAAAAGUAGAUAUCAAGUGGUAAUCCCUAAAGAGGGAAGCAAACCUUUAAGUUGUACUUGUUGACGAGAAGAUUAAAAGUUUACUUGUCAUUAAGUGUUCUAAUCAUUGACAUAUGAUAAGGAAAAACUUCUAAAAAAAGAAAGAAAUUAACUCAAGUUCCAGUCCCCACACAUCCUCUUAAAUGUUUUUGCAGAUAAAAAAAUGCAUCAUCAAAAUUCACUCAAUGCUGGUUUUCAUAAAUGUCAGAAGUUAUUCCCUUCUUAUACAGUUGUAUAACUAUUUUGAAUGCAAAAUAAAAAUAAGUUUAAAAAAUUCCUCCAAUUGUGGGAACUUGCCAAAUCUGUCAUGUCCACCCAGGGUGGGUUUUUGGGGGAAAUGCAUACAUCUCGCAAUACCGGUAAUGACAUUAAUCAUACAGUUAGAAUUCAGAGUUUUUAAACACUUUAAUACCAUUUCCAUGUAUUUAUGCCAAUGUCUAAAAGGAAGAUAUUCUUGCAUAAACAUGUACAAUAUAUUAAGACCCCCUGCCUGUACAACAGCUACUUUGUAUUGACAUUUAUAUGUAUGCUAUACUGGUGAAUUUUUUUGUUAUCUACAUUUUAUAUUUAUUUACCAUGUUUACAGCCCUAAGUAAAUCAGCUUUUGACAUUUGUAUACCUUUUUUUGAUAUAAGUCAGAUAAGGAACAGGAAGUAAAUUACCUUUUUUAAUUUAUGUAAUGAAUACAGAUUAUAAAUAUACUCCCAGUAGAAUUACUAAACACACCAUGAACAAUCUCAAGAGGUCUACUUUGUAAAUGUUCUGUCAGAAAUUCUGUUGAUUUGCUUGCAAUUUCCCCAAAAUAAAAAUAUAAGUAUUAGUAUUAAUAGUAUUAGUUUAUUAAACAUUUUUUGGGGUGGGGUGGAGUGGAUGGUUCCAUACAAGUUGAUAAAUGUCUUGCUCACCUUGCUCACCUAGCUCACCUUGUGAUUGUGUUAUAUAUUAUUGAUCCACUACAUGUACCUGUUUUUUUGUCACAAAUUUGGUCUAUUCUGAGGCAUGGUACCCUGGUAACCCUGAGGAUAUACUGAUGAGAUUAUUUUUGGACUUUCUUAGCCUUGCAUUCAAAGAAUUUUUACUCACCAUAUUCACUUCAAUCUGUUUGGAUAAAUUUAAAUUAGAACAAUUGACUCCUUUUAGAAUUUGAUUUUAAGAGGUUGUGCAGUUAAAACUUUUGAUUUACAUGAACCUGUAUGUCAUGUAUGUAAAUGUAUACAAAUGGAUUUUGUAUCAAAGUCUAAAUUGAUAAUAUCAGUAAAAUGAGUGACAAUAAAUCAUAAUUCACAAUAGUACAUGUACUGACAAAUU
RNAcentral lists this long non-coding RNA (1597 nucleotides) under Mytilus galloprovincialis (Mediterranean mussel). Lineage: Eukaryota; Metazoa; Mollusca; Bivalvia; Mytilida; Mytilidae. The record is from RNAcentral.